Non-coding RNA from Malus domestica (apple), 2486 nucleotides. The record is from RefSeq and is a predicted model, not a curated record. NCBI's taxonomy places the organism in Eukaryota, Viridiplantae, Streptophyta, Magnoliopsida, Rosales, Rosaceae.
UAUAUGUAUAUGCAAGUGUGUGUGUAAUGCAUGCUUUGCAUGUGUGUGUGUGUUGGUGAGUAUGGGUUUGGGCUCAAGCCCAAACCACCUCUUGAUCCUAACCUAUCCAAACCCAAGGCCCAUUUCCAUUUCCUAGAAUUAUAUUGUUUGGGUAGUUUGAUUAAGUUGUACAUUUUCGUGCUUAGGUGAAGUUGCUAGUGGAGACUUCCUUAAUAAUUUUCCGCACAAUUCUGCUGCUUCGGAGUAUCUGUGAGUGGACCACCUUCAAAAAUUGCAUAUUUUAUUGAUAGAAUUGCAUAAUUUAAUAGCAUGCCUUGCAGAUUGAUUGAUUUGAGGAAUACUUUACAGAAGCAUGAUGAUUUAAUUAUGAUUGAUUAUAUAUAUUUUGAACUAUUUUCAUUAUAUUGUAUUUUCUAUAUAACCCUCAUUCUGGUAGACAAUUUGAUCGAUGAUGAUAGGAUACUAAGAAUGUGUUUCAAAUGACUUUCGAACACCUCUUCGUAGUAUAGAUGAUCGAUGAAUUUAUGCUACGAAGUUGUAUUUUAGAGAUGAAUUAUGUUUUGUGCGUACCUAGUGAACACUAUGCCGACUGAGGCGAGGAUCUGGUGUUGGCAUUGAGGCCAGGAGAAAUAAUCCCUAGCGAAAGGCUGAGGGAUACGGAGACAGGCAUUGGGUCGGGAGGGAGAUAUCUCUGGCUACGGGCACAGAGACUGAGGUGCAGGCAUUGGGCCGGGAGUAUUGUUAUUCAGUGCACUCACUAGCGACACAACUUGUGUUAUGCUUCCUGAUAUGAUUUGUGAUAUGAUUUUCUGAGAUUGAUUUGCAGAGAGAUAUAUGAAUUGUUUUUAUGGCAUGCUAGAGGUUUUGAGAAACCUAUCACUUAUUAUUUAGUAGUUUUCAUUAUCUUAACUGUGGGGGUUAGUAUGUUUAUAAUUGUUUUCGUAUUAUGUAUGUAUAUAAACUUGGUCCACUCACCCUUAUUUUGCGCCCCCAUUCAGGUCUUAGGGACGAGGACUACGACGCAAUAUACGAGGCAUUCACCUACCAAUAGCUGCGUCCGUUUUCCUUGUGUGAUAUCUGUAAUAGUCCUUCCUUUUGAAAUCUCAAAUUAGAACAUGCUCUGUGCACUCUAGCCACUUUCUUAAGCACUGUUUAUUUCCUUUAGACCUUCUGAGAAUUAUAUUUAUAUUUUCUCCUAAUCUUUACUCUUGUAUUCAAUAAAUGGCUUUCGUCACCUCAGGUGUUGGCCAGCACGUGCCUAUCCUAAUAUUCGGGGAAUAUCGGGGUCGGGGCGUGUCAUUAAUUGUAGUAGCUUGAUUAAUGCUUUGAGUUAAUCUCUCCUCUCGUUCUAACGAUGCAUGCAACUUGUUCCCAUGCUAAUCCUCCUCGAGAACCAACGUAAGUUGAUUAGAAGAACAAAAUUAAGUUCGAAUUAUUUCACAUCCACUUGAUACUCGAUUGUACGCGAAAUCAACGCGUAAUUUAUUAUAUUCGCGGAAUAUGUCAAUGUUUGAAUUCAGAAAAAUGUGAUUGUAGUAAAAAGACGGGGGAAGAUCCUGGUUUACUUGCCAAUUUUGGAUCUGCAGGGAGGACAUCUUUGUCCUCGCUGCGAGGAUCACAUCAAGCUUUAAAACCUGUGAGCUUAAUUGUUCGAAGGAGCUCACAUGAUCCGCUUUCAGCAGCCAUCACAAGGAGCAUAACAAGUUGCAUUGCCAACACUCCAGACCUCAACUCAUCUCAUACAAUAUUACUUAACCAAAUUGGAAGAACUAAUACUAAUUUUCCAGACACGGAGAUUAUACAUUUCAAUUAGGUCAGGCUUCUGCGUCUUCUGAUGAUAACGGGUUCCAAAAUGAGACCCAAAUUGAUCUGUGGAGGCAACUUCUCAUGGAGUCGACUCUAUACAUGCACAGGCCACCUGAUAGCUUGCAGAACGCUGGAGCUACUUACCAACGACCUCUGCACUUCUCGAUUGAAAUGCGUGAUCGUUAUGGAGCAAUGUGGCUCGAUGUGGAUAGCAUGUCAUAUGAGGAACUAUUGGCUUUAGAAGAUCAUAUAGGGUAUGUCAGUACAGGAUUAUCUGAGGAAGCAGCUGUCACGUCUCUCAAACGCAGCAAUUACUUUGUGUUUAAAGAAGAAAAUGUUCAGAAAGACUUCUGCAGCAUCGGUCAGGAGGAUUUUGUAGAGGAGGAUGAGCUAGGAACAUUGGACUGUGGACACGGCUUCCACAUUUCUUGCAUUAAGCAAUGGCUAGGGCAUAAAAAUGUUUGUCCUAUGUGCAAAUCUCCUGGUUUAAGUUCUAAGCUACCCUCAUUUUCGCACAUUCAAAGUCAGUAAACUAAUUAAUUUUUUAUGAAGUUGACCAAGUAUUUGGCGAUUUCUCAAUUUCGCCAGGCUAGUUUAAUUUACUUUCAUUUUUUUGUCUGGUAAAUGUACAGAUUAUUUAUAAAAAAACAAUGAGGAAUCUCAUGUACAUGCUCAAAAAA